This 357-nucleotide long non-coding RNA is filed under the name Nilaparvata lugens (brown planthopper). RNAcentral's name for it is "uncharacterized LOC120353983". Lineage: Eukaryota; Metazoa; Arthropoda; Insecta; Hemiptera; Delphacidae. The record is from RNAcentral.
AAAAUAUUUCCAUUGGUUUCUUUAUUCUUAUAAUUUUUACAAGAGAAAUUGAAAAUGGAUUUACAACCGAAAGGCGUAAAAUUCGUUAUAAAUUUGAUGCGACAGUUCAAAGUUUUGUACUUUCCAGACCUGCACAACGAAUUACCUAUUUGAAAAAUAGAAAAUGGUUAAAAAUUGCUGAUGUGAUAGAGGAUUCAAGUACCAUUUACAAACAAAAUAUUGAAGAGAAUGUGCUGGAAAGGAAAUUCAUAUGAAUUCUUUUUUGUUGACCAGGAUGGAAAAAGUCAUUGGAACCCAUAGUUAGAAUAAGAAUAAGUUAGGCCUAGAGGUGUACCAGCCAGAAGUAGAGGAUGACAA